CAUUAAGAAGCUUAAAUGAAAGCAGGAGUCUCUUAAACUCUUGAUGAUAAUAUUAUCAACUAUCCUUAAUGA
Molecule: transfer RNA, 72 nt
Filed under: Anterhynchium abdominale
Lineage: Eukaryota; Metazoa; Arthropoda; Insecta; Hymenoptera; Vespidae
Description: tRNA-Lys
Source: RNAcentral